GCUACAGAGUGUGAAGUGCACCACUGAUUCUCCUGGUUUUCAGCCACUCAGGAAUUGGACUGAAUUGUACCAUCAGUUUCCCUGUUUCUCCAGAAGUUGAUUUCCAGCCAGUGUAAAAUAACGAGUUUUCCACCGUUUGAUGAACUUCCACCUGACUUGCUUCUCUUUAAGCUUUCCCUCUAUGAGAGGCUGGCCAUCUUGAUUUACAACUGUUGAAGUUAUCCCAUCAACUUAUGUGAGUUAGAAAUUACUGAGUCAUCCAUCUGCUUAUCAAAUGCUUGUUAAGCACUCACUGCUAUGUACCAGGAGCUGGGAAUCGAACUCACGACCUUGCGCUUGCCAGGCAGGCACUUUGCCACUGAGCUAAAUCCCCAGCCCCUUCAUGGGAAGAUGUUGAUGAGCAUUUUAUCUGAAGAGGGGAAUAUAUGGAGAUGAUGAUAAAAAUUGAUACAUCAUUAAUUUCUGAAGGACUCUCAUGGCUUCGUCUCCACAUUCGCUGUGAAGGAGGUGGAGUCGCUUCCAGUCCCCGGAUGAAGAAAUGGCGCUACAGUGAGCUGAACAGACUUGCAGAGCAUAAUCUUUGUGAAAAUCGUUCCUUUUGUGAGGAAGACUUACUUGACAUUUGCUGAGAGAGAAGCCUUCCUUGACCGUUCAGCAAAUGCUCAUUUUUAUCAUGCAUUUUUAAGAAAACAGUAGCAGUGCGGAAUGGUGUCGCUGUUUGCCAGUGUGACGCUUGUUUCCAUCGGGGCAGCGACCAUGAUUCUCAUGUUGUUCCUUGCACAGGGGUGGGCACAGUGCAGAUGCUCAGCAAAAAUAUUUUUGAGUGAAUAGAUGAACUUACAGGCAUGUUCACCAUGGACUUCCUUGGUAAUCUGAACAACUACUUUGAAGAUAACAAUAUGCAAUGACAGCC
Chinchilla lanigera (long-tailed chinchilla) is the source of this 913-nucleotide long non-coding RNA. RefSeq lists it as uncharacterized. The record is from RefSeq and is a predicted model, not a curated record. The transcript has 6 exons. NCBI's taxonomy places the organism in Eukaryota, Metazoa, Chordata, Mammalia, Rodentia, Chinchillidae.